This 560-nucleotide ribosomal RNA is filed under the name Acinetobacter sp. 1(2013). Its description in RNAcentral is "bacterial SSU rRNA". It matches the Rfam family "Bacterial small subunit ribosomal RNA", at positions 97 to 652 of the family's 1533-position model. The record is from RNAcentral. Lineage: Bacteria; Pseudomonadati; Pseudomonadota; Gammaproteobacteria; Moraxellales; Moraxellaceae.
GGCGGACGGGUGAGUAAUGCUUAGGAAUCUGCCUAUUAGUGGGGGACAACAUUCCGAAAGGAAUGCUAAUACCGCAUACGCCCUACGGGGGAAAGCAGGGGAUCUUCGGACCUUGCGCUAAUAGAUGAGCCUAAGUCAGAUUAGCUAGUUGGUGGGGUAAAGGCCUACCAAGGCGACGAUCUGUAGCGGGUCUGAGAGGAUGAUCCGCCACACUGGGACUGAGACACGGCCCAGACUCCUACGGGAGGCAGCAGUGGGGAAUAUUGGACAAUGGGCGAAAGCCUGAUCCAGCCAUGCCGCGUGUGUGAAGAAGGCCUUUUGGUUGUAAAGCACUUUAAGCGAGGAGGAGGCUACUUGGAUUAAUACUCUAGGAUAGUGGACGUUACUCGCAGAAUAAGCACCGGCUAACUCUGUGCCAGCAGCCGCGGUAAUACAGAGGGUGCGAGCGUUAAUCGGAUUUACUGGGCGUAAAGCGUGCGUAGGCGGCUUUUUAAGUCGGAUGUGAAAUCCCUGAGCUUAACUUAGGAAUUGCAUUCGAUACUGGGAAGCUAGAGUAUGGG